AGAUCACGCCUCUUGACCGUUACGUAUGCAACGCCUUCGUGGUUCUGUGCCUUUUCAUUCCUUCUCAGCCAACGGAAGAGAUGGUACUUCAUAAAAGAUCGUGAAAACUCAUAAGAAAUACGAGAUUAUAGAGAUAGUAGAAGGAAACAGGUAGGUAAGUAGAUUAAUUUUCUGAGUGACCCACGAAGAUUAGUCGGCUGUGAGUCAUUGAAUGAUACCGGAUGCAUUGCAAACAACUUUUUUUUUUCACUGGUUGAUGUACACAGACGUGGGAGGAAGCCUUCAAUCAGGCGUGUCAUGUAUAAAUAUAUGUAAUAUACAUGCGUACACGUAAAUGCUUAUUAAUGUGUAUGCAGUUAGUAUUUUUCUCACAACAACAGCAAAAAAAACUCACCUAAACUUAUACAUACAAUAUUAUGUUUGUGUGUGUAAAGCAGCACGCGUGAAUCCGCAUUUAUUACAUGUCAAGUUAUGCCACAAAUUCUAUAACUAGAAUAAGUUAAGCAUUCUUCUUUCGUGUGUCUGUUUCCUUGUAGUGCAGCUGAUCUUUGAAGGUAAGUUUGAUUUAGCAAAUAUGUUCGUUGAUGUUGUCAUUACGAGCUUUAAUACGUUUAAAUGCGGUAACAAAACCGUAAAGCUGUUCCAGCUUGAAUUCUAUGUCAUUUCUUAUGAAAAUAUCCCAGUCUAUUCCUAAAAUCGUUCGUGCAUCACCGACAAUCAAAGAAACGUUGCAUUCCUUUGUUCGUAAACCUCAAACUUGAGUUGAGUAAAAGAGAGAGUUUAGGCGAGUAAAGGAAGUGGCAAGUGCUACAGAAUUCAGGAAAUUUACAUCCAGUUUCAUUAAUUCAGUUGACUGAGGCCAAGGAUAAUAUCACUGUACGAAUUACUGAGGCAUUUUAUUCUCAAAAGAAAGUCAUACAAUUGUUCAUACAACUCGUCGUCUAUCACAUCUUCAACAGAAGGUUUGUUGGGAAGAUCUCAUGAGUUAUAUCUUUAACAGAGCGUUUAUACAGGAUCUGCACGUAGCUGGGAUCUCCACCUCGAUUUGCGCUUUUAAGGUUCGUUGUGAGUGUUGCACCUGACUGUCCUUUAUUUGGUGGCUGAAGGACGCUUCUGUGCGGUGUGCAUGCCGCGUAUCUUGAUGCAUCCUUUCCUAGAACAAAGACCUUCUCUACAUAGAUUCAUUGAACAUCCAUUGAGCAACGCAUCUUAUACAGGACAUUCUUCUAGCAAAUAUGAACUGGGUGGAAACAUUAGGCCAGAAUGCUGAAUGUAUGAAUUUCAUUCAUGCAAGAUUCCAAGAUCAUCUUACAAGGGAGAAAGGGGUUUUACGGUGUGUGAGAGCUCCCAAAAGGUGGCGUCCACCCAUGCCUGCCCGUGGAUGUAAACAACUGCCUACCUACAGCGUGUGUAUAACAGUGGUGGAGUCAAUACAGACUAAAUCAACAGAAA
Macrobrachium nipponense is the source of this 1452-nucleotide long non-coding RNA. RefSeq lists it as uncharacterized. The transcript is spliced from 3 exons. NCBI's taxonomy places the organism in Eukaryota, Metazoa, Arthropoda, Malacostraca, Decapoda, Palaemonidae. The record is from RefSeq and is a predicted model, not a curated record.